GCUGAAAUAACUCAAUUGGGAGAGCGUUAGACUGAAGAUCUAAAGGUCCCUGGUUCGAUCCCGGGUGUCGGCA
Molecule: transfer RNA, 73 nt
Filed under: Cordylochernes scorpioides
Lineage: Eukaryota; Metazoa; Arthropoda; Arachnida; Pseudoscorpiones; Chernetidae
Description: tRNA-Phe
Rfam family: tRNA
About the family: Transfer RNA (tRNA) molecules are approximately 80 nucleotides in length. Their secondary structure includes four short double-helical elements and three loops (D, anti-codon, and T loops).
Source: RNAcentral